RNAcentral lists this long non-coding RNA (1498 nucleotides) under Durio zibethinus. Its description in RNAcentral is "long non-coding RNA (DZIB_LNC000549)". The record is from RNAcentral. Lineage: Eukaryota; Viridiplantae; Streptophyta; Magnoliopsida; Malvales; Malvaceae.
AGGCUCUUCACUUGAACACAUGGCUGCUGAUUUCCCAAGAGUCUUCUGAGAAUCGUUUUUAGUAGAUUCAGAAUGAUGUUUCAGUAGCAGAGUUUCACCAUGCAGCAAAUCAUCUGGAUCUGGUUCAAACUUGUUCUGAUUUCUAGAAAGGUCAUCAGGAUCUGGUUCAUAAGCAAGUUUCCCCACAGGCCUAAUUGGACUUUGAAUAUCUAGAUUUUCAUUUCCAUCAUGAAUGGUCAACCCAGAGUCUUGGAUUCUCUGUAAUUUUUGAUCAUCCGGAUCAGGCUCAUCAAUUUUCAUAUCAUAUAUUCCCAGCUGUAGCAAUAACUUAUCAUCUCGAUGAGGCUCUGCUCGUGCUAUUUCAUCUGCUUUAGUUUCAUCAGGAUCAGGUUCUUUAUGACCUUGGUUGAAACAGGCUUGAUCUACCAAGGUUUCAGUUGUUAUGUGAUGUCCAGGAUCAUGUCUUGCCAUGCUUGGGCAUCCCAAAAUGUUCGAUUGUGCUUCUCCAUCAUCAGGAUCUGGUUCAUCUAUGGUCUCUCUUGUCAGAAUCUUGGUGUCCAGAAUCUCCAUCACCACAGGUUCAACUACAUUUCCAAAACUUGAAGCACCUGAAUCAUCAGGAUCAGGCUCUUCACUUGAACAUAUGGCUGCUGAUUUCCCAAGAGUCUUCUGAGAAUCAUUUUUAGUAGAUGCAGACUGAUGUUUCAGUAGCAGAGUUUCACCAUGCAGCAAAUCAUCUGGAUCAGGUUCAAACUUGUUAUGAUUGCUAGAAAGGUCAUCAGGAUAUGGUUCAUAAGCAAGUUUCCUCAAAGACCUAAUUGGACUUUGAAUAUCUAGAUUUUCAUUUCCAUUGUGAAUAGUCAAACCAGAGUCUUGGAUUCUCUGUAAUUCUUGAUCAUCCGGAUCGGGCUCAUCAAUUUUCAUAUCAUAUAUUCCCAGCUGUGGCAAUAACUUAUCAUCUCGAUGAGGAUCUGCUUGUGCUAUUUCAUCUGCUUUAGUUUCAUCAGGAUCAGGUUCUUUAUGGCCUUGAUUGAAAUGGGCUUGAUCUACCAAGGUUUCAGUUGUUAUGUGAUGACGAGGAUCAUGUCUUGCCAAGCUUGUGCAUCCCAAAAUGUUCGAUUGUGCUUCUCCAUCAUCAGGAUCUGGUUCAUCUAUGGUCUCUCUUGUCAGAAUCUUGGUGUCCAGAAUCUCCAUCACCAUAGGUUCAACUACAUUUCCAAAACUUGAAGCACCUGAAUCAUCAGGAUCGGGCUCUUCACUUGAACACAUGGCUGCUGAUUUCCCAAGAGUCUUCUGAGAAAUGUUUUUAGUAGAUUCAGAAUGAUGUUUCAGUAGCAGAGUUUCACCGGGCAGCGUGUCAUCUGGAUCAGGUUCAAACUUGUUCUGAUUGCUAGAAAGAUCAUCAGGAUCUGGUUCAUAAGCAAGUUUCCCCAGAGCCCUAAUUGGACUUUGAAUAUCUAGAUUUUCAUUUCCAUCGUGAAUAGUCAACCCAGAAUCA